RNAcentral lists this long non-coding RNA (216 nucleotides) under Mytilus galloprovincialis (Mediterranean mussel). The record is from RNAcentral. Lineage: Eukaryota; Metazoa; Mollusca; Bivalvia; Mytilida; Mytilidae.
GUUAAAAUAAUACAAGACUAACAAAGGCCAGAGGCUCCUGACUUGGGACAGGCGCAAAAAUGCGGCGGGGUUAAACAUGUUUAUGAGAUCUCAACCCUCCCCCUAUACCUCUAGCCAAUGCAGAAAAGUAAACGCAUAACAAUACGCACAUUAAAAUUCAGUUCAAGAGUCUGAUGUCAGAAGAUGUAACCAAAGAAAAUAAACAAAGUGACAAUA